CAGCUGAUUUCCCAUCCGGGGCCUCAUUGUUUAUCUGGACUCACUCAAUGAGUGAGUGCCAAAACAGAGCAAGUUUCUAUGCUCCUAUCUGCUACUGGCAUGGAUCCAGACAGGACAACCUCUCCGAUGGCCCCAACUGGGACUUUGGACAUCAUCUCUUAGCUUAAUAAGUUAAGAGAUGGGUAAGUUUCUUGGCCACGUGCACAGAGAGCCCUUUAAGCUCUUCCUUUCGGCAGGUGAGUGACCACAAAGUCUUCAAUGAACUACAGCAUUGUUGAGGAACCUUGUUCAGCUGGAGGCCACAUUCCCUUCUGCAGGCAGGGCCAGAGACAAAAUGAUGUGACUUCACACCAUCAACGUGCUUUAGUACUGCCUCUUUCGAACCUAUUUGUUUGGGUUGUGUGUCAGCCUUUGUGGAACAGACUCAAGUGCAUCCAUCAAAAAUGACUGGAGUACUGCCCCCAAAGUGUCGGACCGCAGAGCAGAAGAAUUUGUCAGCACGCUCACAAAAUGUCAGGAACUCCUGAGGCUUCCCUGCUGCUCAAAUUAGUGCAUUACCAUCACAAGUUCUGAACCUCAUGUAGGGUUAUCUACACCAAUAGCCUGCUUUUGGCAUGGUGCUCAUCUCCAACCUUCACAAGCAACAGUGAAAGAGAGAAUCCAUAUUCCAUCUAGACAUCAUAACACCUGGAUCAUAAGAUGACUGGCAGAAUCCGAGACCAGGGAAGAAGAGUCGGUGGAAGAAGA
Molecule: non-coding RNA, 747 nt
Organism: Podarcis muralis (Common wall lizard)
Lineage: Eukaryota; Metazoa; Chordata; Lepidosauria; Squamata; Lacertidae
Source: RefSeq, a predicted model, not a curated record